Molecule: non-coding RNA, 124 nt
Organism: Halorhodospira halochloris str. A
Lineage: Bacteria; Pseudomonadati; Pseudomonadota; Gammaproteobacteria; Chromatiales; Ectothiorhodospiraceae
Source: Rfam
GGCGGAAGCGACCCGCCGGAGUCUGUCUGCAGGGAUUGGCUCCAAACCACCCUCGAGCGGCAUUGGUUGGAGACCGUUGUCGUGAGCGUCGGGGGAGAAGGCACAUCCACGUGGUGUGUCAGGU